UAGGGAAGUCUUCCACAGUGGGCGAAAGCCUGAUGGAGCAACGCCGCGUGUGUGAUGAAGGGUUUCGGCUCGUAAAACACUGUUGUAAGAGAAGAAUGACAUUGAGAGUAACUGUUCAAUGUGUGACGGUAUCUUACCAGAAAGGAACGGCUAAAUACGUGCCAG
This 165-nucleotide ribosomal RNA is filed under the name uncultured bacterium. Its description in RNAcentral is "partial 16S rRNA". It matches the Rfam family "Bacterial small subunit ribosomal RNA", at positions 355 to 511 of the family's 1533-position model. The record is from RNAcentral.